UACGGAGGGGGCAAGCGUUGUCCGGAUUUAUUGGGCGUAAAGAGCUCGUAGGCGGCUCGGUAAGUCGGACGUGAAACCUCCAGGCUCAACCUGGAGACGCCAUCUGAUACUGCCGUGGCUUGAGUCCGGUAGAGGAGCAGGGAAUUCCUGGUGUAGCGGUGAAAUGCGCAGAUAUCAGGAGGAACACCAGCGGCGAAGGCGCUGCUCUGGGCCGGUACUGACGCUGAGGAGCGAAAGCGUGGGGAGCGAACAGG
Molecule: ribosomal RNA, 254 nt
Filed under: uncultured bacterium
Lineage: Bacteria
Description: partial 16S ribosomal RNA
Rfam family: Bacterial small subunit ribosomal RNA
Source: RNAcentral